CCUACGGGUGGCUGCAGUGGGGAAUAUUGGUCAAUGGCCGGAAGUCUGAACCAGCGAAGUCGCGUGAGGGACGACUGCCCUAUGGGUUGUAAGCCUCUUUUAUAAGGAAGAAAUAAAUGCUACGUAUAUCCUGAUGCUUUACCUUUUUAAGCAGCAUCAGCUAACUCCGUUCCAGCAGCAGCGGUAAUGCGGAGGAUGCGAGAGUGAUCAUGAUUUAUUGGGUUUAAAGGGUGCGUAGGCGGUUUUUUAGGUUAGUGGUUAAAAGGCGGGGCUUCAACUUGAUUUGCCAUUAAUACUGUAAGACUAGAGUUAAGACGAGGUAGGCGGAAUAAGUGAAGUAGCGGUGAAAUGCUUAGAUAUAACUUAGAACUCCGAUAGCGAAGGCAGCUUACCAGAUUGCGACUGACGCUGAAGCACGAGAGCGUGGGUAGCGAACAGGAUUAGAUACCCCUGUAGUC
RNAcentral lists this ribosomal RNA (458 nucleotides) under uncultured bacterium. Its description in RNAcentral is "partial 16S ribosomal RNA". It matches the Rfam family "Bacterial small subunit ribosomal RNA", at positions 338 to 795 of the family's 1533-position model. The record is from RNAcentral.